GCUUGGAAACACAACGGUUCGGUGCAUCUGGCUGUUAACCAGAAGGAUGGUGGUUCGAGCCCACCCAGGGGCA
Molecule: non-coding RNA, 73 nt
Organism: Podarcis lilfordi (Lilford's wall lizard)
Lineage: Eukaryota; Metazoa; Chordata; Lepidosauria; Squamata; Lacertidae
Source: the annotation of a GenBank genome assembly